GGUUGAAUAAGCUAAAACCAAGCUAUUGGGUUCAUACCCCAAACAUGAGAAACCUCUUCAACCU
RNAcentral lists this transfer RNA (64 nucleotides) under Phascolosoma similis. RNAcentral's name for it is "tRNA-Met". Lineage: Eukaryota; Metazoa; Annelida; Sipuncula; Phascolosomatiformes; Phascolosomatidae. The record is from RNAcentral.